Molecule: transfer-messenger RNA, 349 nt
Filed under: Candidatus Roizmanbacteria bacterium RIFCSPHIGHO2_12_FULL_44_10
Lineage: Bacteria; Candidatus Roizmaniibacteriota
Rfam family: transfer-messenger RNA
About the family: Bacterial tmRNA, also known as 10Sa RNA or SsrA, is named for its dual tRNA and mRNA-like properties. Its role is to liberate the mRNA from a stalled ribosome.
Source: RNAcentral
GGGGAUGACUUGGAUUCGACGCGAAGAUUGCACUUUUAUAAACGGCUAGGGUGGAUCUAUCCAUUAAAUAGAAAAAACCAAACGCAAAAAACACUUUUGCUAGAGCUUUUGAAAGCGUGGAAGCGUCAAACUACGCUCCUGCGUUCGCUUAAGCCUACUCUGUUCAGAUUUUUCUCGGUUCUAUCUGAAUAAGGGGUCAACCAAUCGGGAUAGGUUUUACAGUUUUUUCGGUGAGCUGUACGACUGAUAACAAACACCGGAGCCCUGUUUACUUUUGUAAACUAUCUCUAGCUAAACGUUUUUAAGGUUGCCUUUGCGGACCCGGGUUCAACUCCCGGCAUCUCCACCA